This 412-nucleotide long non-coding RNA is filed under the name Androctonus crassicauda. Lineage: Eukaryota; Metazoa; Arthropoda; Arachnida; Scorpiones; Buthidae. The record is from RNAcentral.
AACUGAGAAGGGGAAAAGAGAGAAAAUAAUUACAAACUAAUAAAAAUUUAUUGUUUAUCCUCAAAUUAGGAACUUCUUUUAUAUGGUAUGCUCCUUAAUCCAUGUGAGAAAGAAAGGAAAGUUUAUCUUCCAAACAAAUAAUAAUAGUACUGGUUCCUUUUUGAGAAGAGCCAGAAAGCGACUUUGCUUAGACACUAAAGAAGAAGUAUCAGUGGUUUUUCUAAUUUCCACUGGGGAAAAAUGUAAGAAAUGUUUUGAGUUAAAAGAAGACUAUUUCAUCCUAUCUGGACAGUGGUCCAAUAGAGACAAAGAGAGAUGACUAAUACUGCAUAGGAAUAUAGUAGAAUGAAGUAUAUGGACACUUUGGGAAAUUAAAAUAAUUCCAUAACACAGCUAGGGCACUCAAGUGCAG